Molecule: ribosomal RNA, 658 nt
Filed under: Bacillus licheniformis
Lineage: Bacteria; Bacillati; Bacillota; Bacilli; Caryophanales; Bacillaceae
Description: bacterial SSU rRNA
Rfam family: Bacterial small subunit ribosomal RNA
Source: RNAcentral
GUGAUGAAGGUUUUCGGAUCGUAAAACUCUGUUGUUAGGGAAGAACAAGUACCGUUCGAAUAGGGCGGCACCUUGACGGUACCUAACCAGAAAGCCACGGCUAACUACGUGCCAGCAGCCGCGGUAAUACGUAGGUGGCAAGCGUUGUCCGGAAUUAUUGGGCGUAAAGCGCGCGCAGGCGGUUUCUUAAGUCUGAUGUGAAAGCCCCCGGCUCAACCGGGGAGGGUCAUUGGAAACUGGGGAACUUGAGUGCAGAAGAGGAGAGUGGAAUUCCACGUGUAGCGGUGAAAUGCGUAGAGAUGUGGAGGAACACCAGUGGCGAAGGCGACUCUCUGGUCUGUAACUGACGCUGAGGCGCGAAAGCGUGGGGAGCGAACAGGAUUAGAUACCCUGGUAGUCCACGCCGUAAACGAUGAGUGCUAAGUGUUAGAGGGUUUCCGCCCUUUAGUGCUGCAGCAAACGCAUUAAGCACUCCGCCUGGGGAGUACGGUCGCAAGACUGAAACUCAAAGGAAUUGACGGGGGCCCGCACAAGCGGUGGAGCAUGUGGUUUAAUUCGAAGCAACGCGAAGAACCUUACCAGGUCUUGACAUCCUCUGACAACCCUAGAGAUAGGGCUUCCCCUUCGGGGGCAGAGUGACAGGUGGUGCAUGGUGUCC